UACUAGAGUAGCACUCGCAUAUCAAUAAGCGGAGGAAAAGAAACUAACAAGGAUUCCCCUAGUAACGGCGAGUGAAGCGGGAAGAGCUCAAAUUUGAAAUCUUAAAGGGUUUCCCUUUACGAAUUGUAGUUUAAAGAAGUGUUUUCUGUUGAGGUUUUGGUAAAAGUUCUUUGGAAUAGGACAUCAUAGAGGGUGAGAAUCCCGUAUUUGACCUUUACUUUCAACUUUGUGAUACACUUUCAAAGAGUCGGAUUGUUUGGGAAUGCAGUCCAAAAUGGGUGGUAAAUUUCAUCUAAAGCUAAAUAUUGGCGAGAGACCGAUAGCGAACAAGUACCGUGAGGGAAAGAUGAAAAGAACUUUGAAAAGAGAGUUAAACAGUACGUGAAAUUGUCAAAAGGGAAGCGUUUGACACCAGUGUUGUUUUUCUGAAAAUCAAUUAUAAGAACUGUUUAUGCUAAGUUGUUUAGACUUUAUCAGCUAUCUGCUUAGUUUUGAGCUUUUCUUUAAUGCACUUUUCAGUUAACAAGUCAACAUCAAUUUCUUUUGCUGUAAAAAAGCUUGAGGAAGGUGGCUUGAGAUUCGUCUUAAGUGUUUAUAGCCUCUUGCCUAUGCAGUCGGAGAGAUUGAGGUCUGCAGCGUAGAUCCUUCGGGGCUAGAUGCAUUUGCGCUAAGUUAUAGCAUUUUAUAGACAACUUGUUGACUAUGAUUUGUCUUGUAGCUUACUCGCUUAUGUUAUUUUACCUACGCUUAGGAUGUUGAACUACUGAGACAUAGA
This 775-nucleotide ribosomal RNA is filed under the name uncultured Neocallimastigales. Its description in RNAcentral is "partial large subunit ribosomal RNA". It matches the Rfam family "Eukaryotic large subunit ribosomal RNA", at positions 20 to 644 of the family's 3401-position model. Lineage: Eukaryota; Fungi; Neocallimastigomycota; Neocallimastigomycetes; Neocallimastigales. The record is from RNAcentral.